RNAcentral lists this ribosomal RNA (496 nucleotides) under uncultured bacterium. Its description in RNAcentral is "partial 16S ribosomal RNA". It matches the Rfam family "Bacterial small subunit ribosomal RNA", at positions 29 to 507 of the family's 1533-position model. The record is from RNAcentral.
AUGAACGCUGGCGGCGUGCCUAAUACAUGCAAGUCGAGCGAACGGACGAGAAGCUUGCUUCUCUGAUGUUAGCGGCGGACGGGUGAGUAACACGUGGAUAACCUACCUAUAAGACUGGGAUAACUUCGGGAAACCGUAGCUAAUACCGGAUAAUAUUUUGAACCGCAUGGUUCAAAAGUGAAAGACGGUCUUGCUGUCACUUAUAGAUGGAUCCGCGCUGCAUUAGCUAGUUGGUAAGUUAACGGCUUACCAAGGCAACGAUGCAUAGCCGACCUGAGAGGGUGAUCGGCCACACUGGAACUGAGACACGGUCCAGACUCCUACGGGAGGCAGCAGUAGGGAAUCUUCCGCAAUGGGCGAAAGCCUGACGGAGCAACGCCGCGUGAGUGAUGAAGGUCUUCGGAUCGUAAAACUCUGUUAUUAGGGAAGAACAUAUGUGUAAGUAACUGUGCACAUCUUGACGGUACCUAAUCAGAAAACCACGGCUAACUACGUG